GGGUUAGUAGGUUGGUCAUGCCUCCGGUAUGUACUGGUCUCACUGAUUCCUCCUUCCUGAUGAGCCGUAAUGCCAUUAAUUUGGUGUUUUGGGGGAUUUGGACUGUUACUUUGAAAAAAUUAGAGUGUUUAAAGCAAGCUAACGCUUGAAUACAUUAGCAUGGAAUAAUGAAAUAGGACAUCAGAUUCUAUUUUGUUGGUUUCUAGGAUUGACGUA
Molecule: ribosomal RNA, 216 nt
Filed under: Campeiostachys nutans
Lineage: Eukaryota; Viridiplantae; Streptophyta; Magnoliopsida; Poales; Poaceae
Description: Elymus nutans partial small subunit ribosomal RNA
Rfam family: Eukaryotic small subunit ribosomal RNA (bases 40-216)
Source: RNAcentral